UUAUACGAGAGACCCAAGUUGACGCCUACGGCGUAAAGCGUGAUUAUAGGCAGAAUAAAACUAAGGCCAAAACCCCUCAAAGCUGUUAUACGCACAUCGAGGACCGUAAGCCCAAAAACGAAAGUAGCUUUAAUGCAAUUACCUAGACCACACGACAGUUGGGAAACAAACUGGGAUUAGAUACCCCACUAUGCCCAACCAUAAACUUUGAUAAUAAGAUACAAAUAUUAUCCGCCAGGGAACUACAAGCGCAUUGCUCGAAACCCAACGGACUUGGCGGUGCCCCACACCCACCUAGAGGAGCCUGUUCUGUAACUGACAAUCCCCGUUUAACCUCACCACCCCUAGCUUAAUCAGUCUAUAUACCACCGUCGUAAGCUCACCCUGUGAAGGCCCAAUAGUAAGCAAGAUGGGCACAACCCAACACGUCAGGUCGAGGUGUAGCAUAUGGGGCGGGAAGAAAUGGGCUACAUUUUCUGCCCAACAGAAUACCAACGAAUGCCGACAUGAAACUGUCGUUUAAAGGAGGAUUUAGCAGUAAAAAGAAAAUAGAGAGUUCUUUUGAAGCCGGCCCUGGGGCGCGCACACACCGCCCGUCACUCUCCACUACAACUUUCUUACAAAAGAAUAAACACAAAAUUAAAUAAUAAAAUAAUUGUCCUAACAGUGGAGACAAGUCG
RNAcentral lists this ribosomal RNA (680 nucleotides) under Petrocephalus simus. Its description in RNAcentral is "partial 12S ribosomal RNA". It matches the Rfam family "Bacterial small subunit ribosomal RNA", at positions 521 to 1488 of the family's 1533-position model. The record is from RNAcentral. Lineage: Eukaryota; Metazoa; Chordata; Actinopteri; Osteoglossiformes; Mormyridae.